Molecule: long non-coding RNA, 737 nt
Filed under: Nicotiana tabacum (common tobacco)
Lineage: Eukaryota; Viridiplantae; Streptophyta; Magnoliopsida; Solanales; Solanaceae
Description: long non-coding RNA (NTAB_LNC004071)
Source: RNAcentral
AUAGUAAUGCAAACUCACAUUCAAAUGCAAAUCAUACAAUGCCGGUUAGACAAAGAUCAAUGAAGCAUCGCGGUGGCAGCAGCAGUAGCAGUGUUGGUAGUGGCCCGGGUGGUGGAUCUAAUCAGAGCGGCUUUAGUCGAGCUCCACCUCCACCUCCACCCCCACCGCCAUUGCCACCACCAUUUCCUGUGAUGCCUUAUGGGAAUCUGUUACCUCCUGUUCUUGAUCCUCGUGUGAGAGGUCCUAGACCCGUUGGAGGAGUUCCUUCUCAGCCACAUGGAGGUGAUCAAUCUUCACAUAGAAAUCCAAACAGGAAGGGCAACUUUGGGGGCCGACCCCGUGGAGAUGGAUCUUAUCAUAGUAGGCGUGAUCAAGAUCGGAGAGAUGUUCACCAAGCCCCUCAAUUUGUCCCUCCUCCUGUAGGGUUUAUAACACCCCAGUCCCCUGGUUCUGCCCCAUUUAUGCCUGCACCUUUGAGACCCUUUGCUGGUCCAGUGGGAUAUGGUAAGUCUUCCUUAGCAUCUGUUCAUUAUCUAGAGGCUGAAAAUUUUCACUUAUUUCUUUGGUUCCUUUCAGAUAUGCCACCUCAAUUCAUAUAUGUCCCCACAAUGCCUCCAGAGUCCUUUAGGGGUGUUCCAAUUAUCCCGCCACCUCCUCCACCACCACCACCUUUCUUUUUUCCAGUCGUGGAUCCAAACUUACCUGCCUUGUUGGUUAAACAGAUCGAAUAUUACUUC